This 3874-nucleotide transfer RNA is filed under the name Marmota monax (woodchuck). The stretch from base 2878 to 2939 matches the Rfam family "tRNA". The record is from RNAcentral. Lineage: Eukaryota; Metazoa; Chordata; Mammalia; Rodentia; Sciuridae.
GGCGCGGAGCGGCGAGGAGGAGGAGCCCGGGAGGAGAGCGAGGAGGGCGAGGCGGGGGAGGGGGCCGGAGGGAAGCGCUGGCUAGGAACCGAGGGCUCCUCGCUAAAGUGCCCUCAACGCCGGGAAGCGUCCACAGGACCCGGUGCCGGGAGACGGCUAGGAGGCCGCUCAGGGAAGCACGACGACUUCAACGAUGACGCAAGAGUCAUGCAAAAUUAUACAUAUAUAUUGAAAGUCCACCCGGAAGGCAAGAGCCAUCCUAUCGGCCUCUAAGUGCACAAGGGAACUAGAAAUCAAAGAGAAAGAAAGGCCAAGAGGAUUAAAAAAAAUAAUUUAGAAGGCGUCCGGAGUGGGGGUGGGGGUCCUGAGCUGGAAGGCAGGGACUCCUGGUUUAUUGCUUAGUCUCCCCCACCACCCCCACACCUUUCACAGCACGAGCUUGAAUCAUUUUCUAUAAAACUGGUGACUAAGAGAGAGACAGCGUGUCGAACCGUUGAAGCACCCCCAACCAGCCAGAAAAGGGACUCCGGUCGCCGCAAAUGUACCUGUGCUCCCCCUGGAGGUGACAUUCUCCUAGGCCCCCUUUAGGUCUUAAGUGUCCCUCCUAGGGGAUUCUGUUGUGAUGUCUGAGAAGUGAUACCCUCACGUGCCUGUGAUCCAAGCAGCAUCCCCCGCCCCUCUGUCUGGCAUAGCAAGAAAACACCCGUCUGGCCAGGUCUGGUUCUCCAGCCAACACUGCUGCUUUGAACAUUGGGAAGUGGAGGUAAGAGUGCAUUCCACGCUGACACGGCACCGCACCCCUGUCCCCAGCUUGCUGACUUGAGGGAAAUUGCUUCCUUUCAUCGAUUCACAGCAUUAGAAAAUGCUGUGUUGAGAAGCAGCAUGGAGGUCAUUUGGACCAUGGCCCUUAGGUUUUAGGUGAGUAAACUGCUAAGAGAGGUGAUGUGGUUAUCCAAAGGCUUCCAGCUACUCUUGGCAUUCAAGGACUUGAUGCACAAUUUAGGAAAUGUGCAUCUCUAUGUCCAAUCUCCCAGGAAGACAUAAAGGGUUAUUGGAAAUUUCUUGUGGAUCCAUAUUAAGCAUCUCUCCAGAUCCCACCCAGUGCAUCUGAGAGUAGGUAUAUGCCGCCCUUAAUGCUGUGAGUUUGGAAGAUACUUUGUAUGCACUGGACGACAGGAAAAGUACAAUGCCUCAAAUUCAAGUGUUGCCACUUUUUCUUAAAAGGAAAGAGAGGAGGGCUUGUCUCACUAUUUGUUUGCAGUACCAUUUGCUCAGGCAGCAUUUUGAGGGCUAGUAUACUAGAAGGAGGAUCUACCAGAAGAAGUUAAGGAACUUCUGGAGGGCACUGAGCCAGAAGAGCUGAAUUUGGUCCCAGCUCUCACAUGAGUUAACAGUGUUACCUUGAGAAUGUCCCCAUGUCAGCCCUGACUGCUUUAGCUGGAGGACCAAACAGCCCUGGGCAGUAAACUUGCUUUCCCAGGGGCAAAGAAGAUGAUGCCCCAAUUGGUCAAAAUAAAAAAAACAAAGGCAGUUCUCAAAUGUUGGGAUUUGAGGAACAGGAAGGAAUUCUGUUUCUAAGCAUCUCAUAGGAUCUCUGCUUGCUUUUUUCCCUUUUGUUUGAACUGCAAGUGUUGAGACAGACACAGGUCUGUGUGAGAACAGAGAACUUUUCUACGUGGCCUUCUCCUUCUCUUUUCCCCCUACUCCCUCCUUCCUCUUCGUCAUUGAUUCAUUCAGUAUUCCGUUUAACAAGUGUGUAUUGAGGUCUACUAGAAGCCACACUUUAUUCCUGGACAGGGGACGAAGAGCUGGCAAGCCACAGUCACUGGAGGGGGAGCGGAAAGGAACUGAUGAGCAAACAGAUAAUUACUACAUAAUGUGAUUGGUGCUGUGGUAGAGAAUAAAGAACAGGCUUCUGGAAAUGCAGAGGAGGUGGUUGUGCAUAGCCUGGGUGUGCUAAAGGAUUUGUAGAAGCAGUGUCAUUGGUCUGGGGUUUAAAAGGCUAAUAGGAGAAAGGGGGAAAUGCCUGGAGGGUAAGUCAGUCCUGCUCCAUGACAAGAAGCAAAUACAACCUCCUGGUAAUGGUGAAUCAUCUAAGGUGAACAGAAGGCAGGGUUAGUGAUGCAUGGGAACCAUUUGUAUGUAACUGUGUGACAUAUGAUGCAGCCAGUCUAGGGGCUUCUGAAAGCCACAUGAAAGCCUCCUGAAGGCAGGACCCCUCUGGUUGGACAGUCUGUGCACUGUACAAAAGUGAAGGCUAGGACAAAGGACACCACUAAAGGGGAAAUCUGGCCCACAGCUCUGGCUCAAGGCUGUGUCCAUUACAAUAAAGAGCAUUUUUCUCUUUUUACAGAUGUGACUUCUCUUUGUCAAACUCUGUGCCCAUUGCGUGUGCAUCUACCCAGAGGGGUGACACUGCAUAGCAAGAGAUGAAGGCAGUACUGAGGCAAGCAGUGGUCGCAAAAGCAAGGAUGUGAUGGAUGGACGAGACAAGAAUUUGCAGUGCAAAUUGCCUUGUUCUGCACCCAGCCACUGUCCUGGGGAGUUGUUGGUUUAUCUCUCCGGAACACCACCAUUUGCUUCUGCUCAGUGUUCUUUCUGAUUUCAUCUCUGUAAUUGUGUGGUUUACAUGGAAGCUGCUCCUUAUACUUCUUGCCCUGAUACCUGUGGAUUGGCCCUAGGAGAGUACUAAUGUAAGAUGAGAUAAGCAAAACCCUUUCCUGAACAUUUUGAAUUUGAGAUUCACAAGAGUGUCCUCUCUGUUACAACUAAACUGGAUAAUGUGGCCCUGGAAGAUGUUGGCCAUUCAUGAAAUAGCCAAAUAGCCAAGAAAAUGAAACUAAAUUACAAAAAGAAGUAAAGAUGGAAAGAUGACCGAGGGUUGUGGCUCAGUGGUAGAGUGCUCAUCUAGCAAGUGAGAGGCACUGGGUUCAAUCCUUAGCACCACAUAAAAAUAAAUGAAAUAAAGGUAUUAUGUCCAUCUACAACUUUAAAAAAAUUAAUAAAGGAAAAAAUCUUGCCCAAAGUUACACAGCUAUUUCAAAAUGAUUUGUCGUCAAAGCUCAUACUGCUUGCCUUGUUCUAUACUGAUCAGGGACCAAAAAUUUUUGUAGGAAAGUAGCAAGUUCGUGUCUGUCAUUUGAGAACAUUCUGGGACUGAAGUAUAGAUGUGGAAAGUAGGAGAGUGAUGCGGAGAGAGAUCAUGUGAGUCUGAACCAAGCAUGGCCAUGAACAGGAAGAGGAGAGCAUGGGUUUCAGUUGUAUUUAAAUGAUAGAAUUCAUAGGGUUUCAUCACAGUGUGGAGAGGGUUUUCAUUACUACCUUCAUUACCACACUUCCAGGAGGACUGUUUCUUGACCCACUUAUUGAACAAAAGCCUGGGACUUUCUGUGAUCAUAUCAACUUCGUUCAUCCCUAAACCAAUCAUGGUGGCCAGCAAAAAGUCAGGUGGCUGUUGCCUUAGGCUAGGGGUACUGUCCAUCCCUAAACUCAUCAUGGUGACAAUUGGUCCUGAUUUGGUCCAUUAGUCAUUUCCACCCAGGCAUGAGAUUUCAUUCCUAUCCAGAUUCUAUGGUUCUUGCAAACGGGGUGACAGGUGUGUGCUGGGGGGCAUCUAUGCUGGGGAGGCAACCAGCAAUAUCCAUUAUACCUAGAUGUUGCCCACCUUUCAAUGUAUCUCCCCCCACCUAGCUACAAUGGAAAUAAAGGAUCUGAGGAGGAAGCCGAUGUCAAGGUAAGAAGGAUCCAUGUCAAAUCCAUGGUUUGUUCCAGAUAUCAGCCAGUUUUUCAGUACUGGAGUCCAUGCAGUCUCCAAAUCCCUCAUUCUAAGUCUACCUCCUCUUCUCUCUCUGGCCCUCCUUCUUAGAGAUUAUUG